RNAcentral lists this ribosomal RNA (324 nucleotides) under Clostridioides difficile. RNAcentral describes it as "partial 23S ribosomal RNA". It matches the Rfam family "Bacterial large subunit ribosomal RNA", at positions 2598 to 2925 of the family's 2925-position model. The record is from RNAcentral. Lineage: Bacteria; Bacillati; Bacillota; Clostridia; Peptostreptococcales; Peptostreptococcaceae.
ACGCGAGCUGGGUUCAGAACGUCGUGAGACAGUUCGGUCCCUAUCCGUCGCAGGCGUAGGAAAUUUGAGAAGACCUGUCCUUAGUACGAGAGGACCGGGAUGGACGUACCUCUGGUGUACCAGUUGUUCUGCCAAGGGCAUGGCUGGGUAGCUAUGUACGGAAUGGAUAAGCGCUGAAAGCAUCUAAGCGCGAAGCCAACUUCAAGAUAAGAUUUCCCACCGCAAGGGUAAGACUCCAGAAAGACUAUCUGGUUGAUAGGUCGAAGGUGUAAGUGCAGCAAUGUAUUUAGCUUAUCGAUACUAAUAGGUCGAGGACUUGACCAA